UGUAGGAAGAAGAACUCUGUUAGAAGAACUCUUUCGAAACAGCAGCAGCAGCAACUGACCACCUGGUCUAGAACGCCAAAAAAUGAAACGACCGGCAGCAUCAGAAGGAUCAUGUAACUCUCAACGCAUUUCUACUUGAGUGGGCGUCUGCCUGGCAUUUCAUAAAAGAAGAGGACCAGACUUAAAUUCUGACGUAAGUACAAGUCCAGAGACAAAUCCUGACAACGGAAUGGUCAGCAAAUUCCUCAGAUGCUGAACCAGAAUCCUGUAAGACAGAACAGGUGGCGACAGAGUGAGUGCCUCCAUCCAUGAAAGGCCAAUGCAGCAACAUGCAUUCAUCAACAAAAUGGAGAACGUUCUUUAAAACUAGAAGAGAAACCUCUUCCUACAACUAGCUGCUCUUGGACCAAGUAUAGUAGUCUGGUCUUCUUAAGAUCUUACACAGCAGAAAUACUGUUUGUGGCUGCUCUGGUUGGUUAACCUCCUUUAAAGCUUCAUUGUACGGAGAUGAGAGGGAAAAUAACGUUGUACGUGGCGCAAAUGGCCCUGACCUGGACAGCCUCGGCUAGCCUGAUCUUGUCAGAUCUUGGAAGCUAAGUGGAGUUGGCCAUAAUUAGCACUUAAACGGGAGACCACCAAGUCCAGGGUCACAGCAGAGAGGAAAGCAAACAACUGCUGAAUGUUUCUUGCCUUGGAAGCCCUGUGGGGUUGCCGAGUGUCUCCUGUGAGUACAAAUGAGUUCCAGUAUCAUCACGUAGUAGGUAAAAGUACAGAAUGAAAAUUGGUGCGAUGUGGGACACUGAAUGGAAACUACUAAGAAGAAAUCUCGGAGCUCAAGGGAUUUAUAUUUCACAAGACUUCUUGGCACUUAAGAACCACCUCCACCAUCCAGUCAGCAUCACUAUCAGAAACUGCAGUUGGAGGCUGGCAAGGUUAAUUUCAGCGACCUCGUGAGGAACACGUAAUUCAUAUCAGAUUCAUAUCACAGCCAUGUUUCUCCUGGAAUGACCACAAGUACUGCAACAGUCACUCCACACUCUCAGUCUCAACACUGCCCCAAGACUGAUAAGGAUUGUUGCCACAGCAGUAGCCACCAGUCCCAGGAAGACUUCUCUGAAUAAUCUGGCUACAUAAACUCCAGUUUAACUGUACUGGAGGUACAGGUUUACAGGGCAAAGGUGGCAUUCCUCCCUCCCUCCCUCCCUCCCUCUCUCUCUCUCUCUCUCUCUCUCUCUCUCUCUCUCACACACACACACACACACACACACACACACACACACACACUGCAAAAAACAAUCUUCGCCUUACAACAGUUAUCAAAAUUAU
This is a long non-coding RNA of Sphaerodactylus townsendi, 1326 nucleotides long. RefSeq lists it as uncharacterized. Lineage: Eukaryota; Metazoa; Chordata; Lepidosauria; Squamata; Sphaerodactylidae. The transcript is spliced from 3 exons. The record is from RefSeq and is a predicted model, not a curated record.